RNAcentral lists this small nuclear RNA (173 nucleotides) under Carlito syrichta (Philippine tarsier). Its description in RNAcentral is "U4 spliceosomal RNA (ENSTSYG00000024055.2)". The stretch from base 1 to 79 matches the Rfam family "U4 spliceosomal RNA". Lineage: Eukaryota; Metazoa; Chordata; Mammalia; Primates; Tarsiidae. The record is from RNAcentral.
AGCUUUGCAUCGUGGCAUUAUUGCAGUCAAUGAGGUUUAACCAAGGUGAAAUUAUUGCUGAUUGAAAACAGUAUUAUCAGUCUGUAAUCCUAACCCUGUAGGAAGAAAGACAGCCUAGAUGAGUGGACUGCCUGAGCCCGCGGGUUUGAGAUCAUUCCGGGAAACUUGGCGAG